RNAcentral lists this transfer RNA (83 nucleotides) under Candidatus Anderseniibacteriota bacterium. RNAcentral describes it as "tRNA-Leu". It matches the Rfam family "tRNA". Rfam says of the family: Transfer RNA (tRNA) molecules are approximately 80 nucleotides in length. Their secondary structure includes four short double-helical elements and three loops (D, anti-codon, and T loops). The record is from RNAcentral. Lineage: Bacteria; Candidatus Anderseniibacteriota.
GCCGCGGUGGUGGAACGGUAGACACCCAGGACUCAAAAUCCUGCGAGCGCAAGCUCAUGAGAGUUCGAUUCUCUCCCGCGGCA